RNAcentral lists this transfer RNA (76 nucleotides) under Candidatus Zhuqueibacterota bacterium. RNAcentral describes it as "candidate division KSB1 bacterium tRNA-Pro". It matches the Rfam family "tRNA". Rfam says of the family: Transfer RNA (tRNA) molecules are approximately 80 nucleotides in length. RNAcentral also lists the same sequence under 1 other name. Lineage: Bacteria; Pseudomonadati. The record is from RNAcentral.
CGGGGAGUCGCCUAGUCGGGUAAUGGCACUUGGCUUGGGACCAAGAAUAACGGGGAUUCGAAUUCCUCCUCCCCGA